This 828-nucleotide ribosomal RNA is filed under the name Clostridioides difficile. Its description in RNAcentral is "partial 23S ribosomal RNA". It matches the Rfam family "Bacterial large subunit ribosomal RNA", at positions 1373 to 2210 of the family's 2925-position model. Lineage: Bacteria; Bacillati; Bacillota; Clostridia; Peptostreptococcales; Peptostreptococcaceae. The record is from RNAcentral.
CCCUGGGUUAGUCGGGACCUAAGCUGAGGCCGAAAGGCGUAGGUGAUGGACAACAGGUUGAUAUUCCUGUACUACCGAUAACCGUUUGAGAGAAGGGAUGACACAGUAGGAUAAGCUAAGCACACUGUUGGUUAUGUGUGCCCAAGCAUUGAGGCAGUCAAAGUAGGCAAAUCCGCUUUGAUAAUGCUGGGAUGUGAUGGGGAGCGAAAUUUAGUAGCGAAGUAGCUGAUUUCACACUGUCAAGAAAAGUCUCUAUCGAGGUUAAAGGUACCCGUACCGCAAACCGACACAGGUGGGUGAGGAGAGUAUCCUAAGGCCAGCGAGAGAACUGUUGUUAAGGAACUCGGCAAAAUGACCCCGUAACUUAGGGAUAAGGGGUGCCACCAUCAGGUGGCCGCAGAGAAUAGGCCCAAGCGACUGUUUACCAAAAACAUAGGUUUCUGCUAAGUCGCAAGACGAUGUAUAGGAGCUGACGCCUGCCCGGUGCUGGAAGGUUAAGGGGAUCUGUUAGAGCAAUCGAAGCAGUGAACUUAAGCCCCAGUAAACGGCGGCCGUAACUAUAACGGUCCUAAGGUAGCGAAAUUCCUUGUCGGGUAAGUUCCGACCCGCACGAAAGGCGUAACGAUUUGGGCACUGUCUCAACAACAGACUCGGUGAAAUUGUAAUUCCGGUGAAGAUGCCGGAUACCUGCGACAGGACGGAAAGACCCCAUGGAGCUUUACUGUAGCUUGACAUUGGGUCUUGGUACUACAUGUACAGGAUAGGUGGGAGGCUUUGAAACCAGGACGCCAGUUUUGGCGGAGCCAUCCUUGGGAUACCACCCUUGUA